ACCGCUUCGGUGGUGGAUUAGUGGCGAACGGGUGAGUAACACGUGGGCAAUCUGCCCUUCACUCUGGGACAAGCCCUGGAAACGGGGUCUAAUACCGGAUAACACUCUGUCCCGCAUGGGACGGGGUUGAAAGCUCCGGCGGUGAAGGAUGAGCCCGCGGCCUAUCAGCUUGUUGGUGGGGUAAUGGCCUACCAAGGCGACGACGGGUAGCCGGCCUGAGAGGGCGACCGGCCACACUGGGACUGAGACACGGCCCAGACUCCUACGGGAGGCAGCAGUGGGGAAUAUUGCACAAUGGGCGAAAGCCUGAUGCAGCGACGCCGCGUGAGGGAUGACGGCCUUCGGGUUGUAAACCUCUUUCAGCAGGGAAGAAGCGAAAGUGACGGUACCUGCAGAAGAAGCGCCGGCUAACUACGUGCCAGCAGCCGCGGUAAUACGUAGGGCGCAAGCGUUGUCCGGAAUUAUUGGGCGUAAAGAGCUCGUAGGCGGCUUGUCACGUCGGAUGUGAAAGCCCGGGGCUUAACCCCGGGUCUGCAUUCGAUACGGGCUAGCUAGAGUGUGGUAGGGGAGAUCGGAAUUCCUGGUGUAGCGGUGAAAUGCGCAGAUAUCAGGAGGAACACCGGUGGCGAAGGCGGAUCUCUGGGCCAUUACUGACGCUGAGGAGCGAAAGCGUGGGGAGCGAACAGGAUUAGAUACCCUGGUAGUCCACGCCGUAAACGUUGGGAACUAGGUGUUGGCGA
RNAcentral lists this ribosomal RNA (740 nucleotides) under Streptomyces badius. Its description in RNAcentral is "bacterial SSU rRNA". It matches the Rfam family "Bacterial small subunit ribosomal RNA", at positions 74 to 829 of the family's 1533-position model. Lineage: Bacteria; Bacillati; Actinomycetota; Actinomycetes; Kitasatosporales; Streptomycetaceae. The record is from RNAcentral.